This 119-nucleotide ribosomal RNA is filed under the name Pteropus alecto (black flying fox). The record is from RNAcentral. Lineage: Eukaryota; Metazoa; Chordata; Mammalia; Chiroptera; Pteropodidae.
GCCUAUGGCCAUGCCACCCUGAACGAGCCUGAUCCCGUCUGAUCUCGGAAGCUAAGCAGAGUCAGCCCUGGUCAGUACCUGGAUGGGAGACCACCUAGGAACAGCAGGUGCCGUAGGCG